CAGCUUUAAUGCACUUGUCGCCAUCAGAACUCCGCAGUUAAGCGUGCUUGGGCGAGAGCAGUAGUAAGAGGGUGACCUCUUGGGAAGUCCUCGUGUUGCACCCCCUCCUUUU
Molecule: ribosomal RNA, 112 nt
Filed under: Toona sinensis
Lineage: Eukaryota; Viridiplantae; Streptophyta; Magnoliopsida; Sapindales; Meliaceae
Source: RNAcentral